This 266-nucleotide ribosomal RNA is filed under the name uncultured bacterium. RNAcentral describes it as "partial 16S ribosomal RNA". It matches the Rfam family "Bacterial small subunit ribosomal RNA", at positions 793 to 1055 of the family's 1533-position model. The record is from RNAcentral.
GUCCACGCCGUAAACGAUGUCAACUAGCCGUUGGUUCUAUUUUAAUAGGAUUAGUGGCGCAGCUAACGCAUUAAGUUGACCGCCUGGGGAGUACGGCCGCAAGGUUAAAACUCAAAUGAAUUGACGGGGGCCCGCACAAGCGGUGGAGCAUGUGGUUUAAUUCGAUGCAACGCGAAGAACCUUACCUACCCUUGACAUCCAGAGAAUCUGUUAGAGAUAGUGGAGUGCCGCAAGGAACUCUGAGACAGGUGCUGCAUGGCUGUCGU